CCCACCGCCAAGUAUCACUCUGGAACAGCACGAUAGUAUAGUGUAGGGAACACUUGGCCAAGAGGAGAGUCAGAAGACCUGAGCUAAGUCUGGGCUUGGACAGGUCACUUAGCUUCUCUGGACCUCAGUGGCUGAGCUCCAAGCUCAGUUUCUUCAGUUAGGACCCCAUGAGAACAAAUGUCCAUGUCUGAGUCCUGAUAUCCCAUGACAAAAUCAGAGAGUAGAAAUAAUAGGAGUUCCCACAUUUCUGAUUUCUACUAGGUUCAGACCUGUAAUCUAGGCCUCUGGCUUUUCUUGCUCACAGAAAAUAUUCUAAGGGGGCUCAUUCAAGACAGACUAACUCAACAUGAAGCCCUGCCCUUCAGAGUCUCCCCAUCUUCAACCAUUAGAAAGCAGGGAUUCUCCAUGAGCAAAAGCUUCCUGAGGACGUACAAGGCAGUUAUCUAAGAAGGUAUGUAGAGACAUCACCCCGAGGGUCAGUCCAUUUACAGCAGGAAAGAACUGAGCACGGCUGAGACACCCAGCAUCUUUCACCCAUGCAGGUCAGACAAAUGAUUCUCUCGCACAGACCGACCAUAUGGAUUGAUUUAGCAGCAUUUCACCUGCUGCCCAGAGACAUGGCUUGAGUCAUCCCAUAUAAAUUACUGAACUCUCCACCACAAAAAUGAAAAAAAAAAUGUUUUCUUGCACAGCAGUAGCAAUUAAUGUGCAACGUGUUUAUGGAGUUUAAUAAUAUACGGCCCGGCACUCGUCUCUGUAUGCAAUAAAUACCAUUAUCUUGAGAGAGACUGAGUUGGUGUCAUCAGCAUACAAGACGUGGAUGAUGGAUUCAUCAAUAACUGAGCCUGGCCUUAUUACAGCAAACAAAUUAGACACCGUGGAAUCUAUUGCCAUAUAGACAGGACUUCCUUCUCUUCAAAUAGAUGUCAUAAUUAAUAGUGGUGACCUUUUGGCAACAGCUUGCAAUUAACGGGCUCUCUCUUCCUUUAGUGCCUGCACACAUAAGUGGUUGUUCAAGGCUUGGCCCAGCCCAGUGGAGUGGAGCAAACUCUAGACAUCUUCCCAGGAAAGUGGUGGCCAGUAAGGUCAAUCACCUCUUCAUCUUUCUCAGAUUUCAUGCCAGCAUAAGGUAGAAAGGAAAGCAGUGAGUCACCCAGAAGAAGUUCCUAAGCCACUUCUCUCUGCCAGGCACAGCUCCAGGCACUGAGGAUAGAGCAACAAAUCAUAUAGAAGGACUCCCCCACCCCUCCUCACCCCUGUGAGUAGAGAAUGACAUCAGACAUGUAAACAAAUAAAUGCUUCUAAAAUUCUGAUAUGUAGCAUGCUGAAGAUAUAGAGCGCUCUCGAAUCUCCGUAUUUUUAAAUGGCAACAGGGAUUUUCACAAGAGGAGAUAUUUUAUGUACUCGGCAUCCACGUGAUUCAAUAAUCACCAACAUAAGCAAGAUUCUGCUGCUCCUAGAUUUCCUCUUCCUCUGAAUUUUAAGAAUAACAUGGCAGUUCUGAAGAGGAAUGGGUACUGCCUGCAAUUUGAUCAUUUUAAAAGACUUUAGUCUUUUAGAAUAAUUAUUGUGGAGUUCCACAAUAGCCCAGGUUAACCAAACCAAUACCAAAAAGAAAUGGGUAUUAUCUUAUAUUUUAAAAAUACUAGUUUUAGUGUGGGGAAAAAAAAAUGUGCCAGGACACAUCAAAAUCACAGGUUGAACCAUCCAUGGAACAUACAUUCUACGCAUUUUGUUCCCUUACAAUUUUUUACCUCUAUAGUUCAGUAUAGAUGAUGUCUAUACAGACAAGUUGAAGUUCAUAUUUAAUGCAAUUGUCCAUGAAAAAAUAGUUGAGGCAAAAGUCCUUCUCACAUGAAUUCUCUGGAAUCCUCCUUCAGUUUUUCACUCUAAUUUUAGACACAGCCUUGCCCUAUUUGUUCAUGAAGCAAGAAUAUUCUAACCAAGCCCUGUGGUUCUCAGUCCCUUCAUGGUAGGAAACUGGGACAGUUGGGUUGGUUACGAAAUGUGUUUCUGUCAUAGGCAAUUAAUCUGCACUGAUUUACUCUUUUCUCUCUCUCUCAUAACGAUGCCACUCUGUGAAUCCCAAUGUCCUUCUUGAGUCACAGGAGAGGAGAGCGAUGCACUGGCAAUGGCUAAUAACCCUGGGCACGUGCGUGACAUUCAUGGGGAUGUGAGCUGCAAGUCACCUUCAUCUCGAAUGUAUGUUACAGCCAGAAAAAAAGUGGUGAACAACUGCACUCAGUAAAUACUAAUUCGAAGGAAUAAAUGAUGACACCCAUGGUACUCAGGUCAUUUUACUUUCUCCCUCUACUUUGCGGAGUGAAUGGUUCCACAG
Canis lupus familiaris (dog) is the source of this 2338-nucleotide long non-coding RNA. RefSeq lists it as uncharacterized. The transcript has 3 exons. The record is from RefSeq and is a predicted model, not a curated record. NCBI's taxonomy places the organism in Eukaryota, Metazoa, Chordata, Mammalia, Carnivora, Canidae.